RNAcentral lists this long non-coding RNA (472 nucleotides) under Homo sapiens (human). RNAcentral's name for it is "HSALNT0333400". Lineage: Eukaryota; Metazoa; Chordata; Mammalia; Primates; Hominidae. The record is from RNAcentral.
GGAGGCGCCGAGAGCCAGCGAGGGGAUGCCAGCAAGCUGUCACCUCUCAGAAAUACAGGAAGAACAUCAAUAAUGUUCGAAGUUAUAAAUUGCGGAGGCCAGAAGUCAGAAAACAAGGUGUCUGCAGGACCAACCUCUCCUCUGGAUGCUCUAGGAGAAGCCAGCUCCCAUGUUAAGAAGUUCAAAUACCUAGAGACUGCGAUGGUUUGCAGAGGCUCAAGCUAACCACAUGGAAAGACAUGGAGAGAUAUUCCUUGCCAACCCUCAACUACUCCAACUAUUCUAAGACAUCAAACCUAAAAACAAACCGCAGGUCACCCACCGGUCUGAAGAGGAGGAUGAGAGACAAAGAAAAAAGUUGUCUGGCUGCCUCUGCUGUCUACAGAUUGAAGAAGAUCCAUCCAGCUGAGCCCAGCCUAGACCAGCUGACUUCUCCAAUAAGCCUGUAUGAAAUAAAUGCUUAUUGUUAUGU